Molecule: long non-coding RNA, 583 nt
Filed under: Homo sapiens (human)
Lineage: Eukaryota; Metazoa; Chordata; Mammalia; Primates; Hominidae
Description: non-protein coding lnc-CEBPD-1:1
Source: RNAcentral
ACUAUAGGCGCCCACCACCACACCCGGCCAAUUUUUUGUAUUUUUAGUAGAGACGGGGCUUCACCAUGUAAGCCAGGAUGGUCUCUGUCUCCUGACCUCAUGAUCUGCUCGCCUUGGCCUCCCAAAGUGCUGGGAUUACAGGCGUGAGCCACUGUGCCCGGCCGAGAAAUAACAUUUUUUUUAAAGUCAGUUCCCUUUAAGUGAAAACUUUUCAGUAAAAGGUUUUAUCAUGUUAGAUUGGCUUUUUAAAAAGUAGAUCAAGAGGCAUGUUUUAAAAUACAGGCGGUUGUCUAACAAGCUGUUCCUAAGCAAGGUUCUGGUUUGUUUUAGGUCAGUAUGACGGUAGGGGAAAGCCAUUGCCAGAGUACCACGUGCGAAUCGCCGGGUUUGAUGAGCGGGUGACAGUCAUGGCGUCUCUGCGAAGGCCCAAGCGCAUCAUCAUCCGUGGCCAUGACGAGAGGGAACACCCUUUCCUGGUGAAGGGUGGCGAGGACCUGCGGCAGGACCAGCGCGUGGAGCAGCUCUUCCAGGUCAUGAAUGGGAUCCUGGCCCAAGACUCCGCCUGCAGCCAGAGGGCCCUGCA